Molecule: ribosomal RNA, 492 nt
Filed under: uncultured bacterium
Lineage: Bacteria
Description: partial 16S ribosomal RNA
Rfam family: Bacterial small subunit ribosomal RNA
Source: RNAcentral
AGUGAACGCUGGCGGUAGGCCUAACACAUGCCAGUCGAACGGCAGCACAGUAAGAGCUUGCUCUUACGGGUGGCGAGUGGCGGACGGGUGAGGAAUACAUCGGAAUCUACUUUUUCGUGGGGGAUAACGUAGGGAAACUUACGCUAAUACCGCAUACGACCUACGGGUGAAAGCAGGGGAUCUUCGGACCUUGCGCGAUUGAAUGAGCCGAUGUCGGAUUAGCUAGUUGGCGGGGUAAAGGCCCACCAAGGCGACGAUCCGUAGCUGGUCUGAGAGGAUGAUCAGCCACACUGGUACUGAGACACGGUCCAGACUCCUACGGGAGGCAGCAGUGGGGAAUAUUGGACAAUGGGCGCAAGCCUGAUCCAGCCAUACCGCGUGGGUGAAGAAGGCCUUCGGGUUGUAAAGCCCUUUUGUUGGGAAAGAAAAGCAGCAGGUUAAUACCCCGCUGUUCUGACGGUACCCAAAGAAUAAGCACCGGCUAACUUCGUG